RNAcentral lists this long non-coding RNA (1251 nucleotides) under Chlamydomonas reinhardtii. RNAcentral's name for it is "long non-coding RNA (CREI_LNC001430)". Lineage: Eukaryota; Viridiplantae; Chlorophyta; Chlorophyceae; Chlamydomonadales; Chlamydomonadaceae. The record is from RNAcentral.
AUUCUACCUAACCAGAGCGGCUCUGGAGAACAGUAAGCUCAGGUUCGGCGCUAUGAUUAGCUUAGCCAAUCGCUGCUCCAUCCCCCAUCCCCCCCUCGCUGUCAAUCCGCCCUUACAAGCCCCACAGGCUACCCAUGCCUUGUAAAGACACAUACACACACACACACAACACACAAACACACACACACACACGUGCCGUGCAGGCUGGUAGACAUGCCCCUAUCCACCCUUCCUCCCCCCCUCACUGUCAAUUCGCCCUGACAAGCCCCCACAGGCUACCCAUGCCUUGUACAGACACACGAACGUGCCGCGCAGGCUGGUAGACAUGCCGCCCUUCAACCCUUUCUCCCCUCCUCGCUGCUAAUUUGCCCUCACAGGCCCCCAAAGGCUACCCAUGCCCUGUACAGACACAUGAAAGAACCGUGUAGACUGGUACACAUGCCCCCCUCCAUCCCCCCUCCCCCCCUCGCUGUCAAUCCGCCCUCACAAGCCCCACAGGCUACCCAUGCCUUGCAAAGACACAUACGCACACACUCAAACACACACACACACAACACACAAACACACACACACACACACAUUACACAAAAACACACACACACGUGCCGUCCAGGCUGGUAGACAUGCCCCUAUUCACCCCCCCCCCUCACUGUCAAUUUGCCCUGACAAGCCCCCACAGGCUACCCAUGCCCUGUACAGACACACGAACGUGCCGCGCAGGCUGGUAGACAUGCCCCCCUUCAACCCUUUCUCCCCUCCUCGCUGCUAAUUCGCCCUCACAGGCCCCCAAAGGCUACCCAUGCCCUGUACAGACACACGAAAGAACCGUGUAGACUGGUACACAUGCCCCUCUCCAUCCCCCCUCCCCCCCUCGCUGUCAAUCCGCCCUCACAAGCCCCACAGGCAUACCCAUGCCUUGUAAAGACACAUACACACACACACACACACAAACACACAAACACACACACACACACACACACACGUGCCGUGCAGGCUGGUAGACACGCCCCUAUCCACCCUUCCUCCCCCCCUCACUGUCAAAUCGCCCUGACAAGGCCCCACAGGCUACCCAUGCCUUGUAAAGACACAUACGCUUACACACAAACACACACACACACACACACAACACACACACACUCACACAACACACACACACACACACACACACACACACACACACACACACACACACACGUGCCGUGCAUGCUGGUAGACAUGCCCCACACCACCCCUUCCCUCCCCCUCUCGCUG